CAAAACAUAGCUUAAUAAAUAAGGCAUUCAGCUUACACCUGAAAAAUGUCCAUUAAAAUUGGACUAUUUUGA
This 72-nucleotide transfer RNA is filed under the name Macrochelys temminckii (alligator snapping turtle). Its description in RNAcentral is "tRNA-Val". It matches the Rfam family "tRNA". Rfam says of the family: Transfer RNA (tRNA) molecules are approximately 80 nucleotides in length. Their secondary structure includes four short double-helical elements and three loops (D, anti-codon, and T loops). Further hydrogen bonds mediate the characteristic L-shaped molecular structure. tRNAs have two regions of fundamental functional importance: the anti-codon, which is responsible for specific mRNA codon recognition, and the 3' end, to which the tRNAs corresponding amino acid is attached (by aminoacyl-tRNA synthetases). tRNAs cope with the degeneracy of the genetic code in two manners: having more than one tRNA (with a specific anti-codon) for a particular amino acid; and 'wobble' base-pairing, i.e. permitting non-standard base-pairing at the 3rd anti-codon position. Lineage: Eukaryota; Metazoa; Chordata; Testudines; Chelydridae. The record is from RNAcentral.